UCCGGUGGCGAUAGCGGAGGGGAAACACCCGUUCCCAUUCCGAACACGGAAGUUAAGCCCUCCAGCGCCGAUGGUACUGCUUUCGCGGGAGAGUAGGUCGCUGCCGGAA
This is a ribosomal RNA of Thermoanaerobacter pseudethanolicus ATCC 33223, 109 nucleotides long. Lineage: Bacteria; Bacillati; Bacillota; Clostridia; Thermoanaerobacterales; Thermoanaerobacteraceae. The record is from Rfam.